Molecule: ribosomal RNA, 466 nt
Filed under: Vreelandella stevensii
Lineage: Bacteria; Pseudomonadati; Pseudomonadota; Gammaproteobacteria; Oceanospirillales; Halomonadaceae
Description: partial 16S ribosomal RNA
Rfam family: Bacterial small subunit ribosomal RNA
Source: RNAcentral
CCUAACGGGUGGCAGCAGUGGGGAAUAUUGGACAAUGGGGGCAACCCUGAUCCAGCCAUGCCGCGUGUGUGAAGAAGGCCCUCGGGUUGUAAAGCACUUUCAGUGAGGAAGAACGCCUGGUGGUUAAUACCCAUCAGGAAAGACAUCACUCACAGAAGAAGCACCGGCUAACUCCGUGCCAGCAGCCGCGGUAAUACGGAGGGUGCGAGCGUUAAUCGGAAUUACUGGGCGUAAAGCGCGCGUAGGUGGCUUGAUAAGCCGGUUGUGAAAGCCCCGGGCUCAACCUGGGAACGGCAUCCGGAACUGUCAAGCUAGAGUGCAGGAGAGGAAGGUAGAAUUCCCGGUGUAGCGGUGAAAUGCGUAGAGAUCGGGAGGAAUACCAGUGGCGAAGGCGGCCUUCUGGACUGACACUGACACUGAGGUGCGAAAGCGUGGGUAGCAAACAGGAUUAGAUACCCUAGUAGUC